CCUACGGGAGGCAGCAGUGAGGAAUAUUGGUCAAUGGGCGCGAGCCUGAACCAGCCAAGUCGCGUGAGGGAUGAAGGUUCUAUGGAUCGUAAACCUCUUUUAUAAGGGAAUAAAGUGUGGGACGUGUCCUAUUUUGUAUGUACCUUAUGAAUAAGGAUCGGCUAACUCCGUGCCAGCAGCCGCGGUAAUACGGAGGAUCCGAGCGUUAUCCGGAUUUAUUGGGUUUAAAGGGUGCGUAGGCGGCCUUUUAAGUCAGCGGUGAAAGUCUGUGGCUCAACCAUAGAAUUGCCGUUGAAACUGGGGGCCUUGAGUGGGCGAGAAGAAGGCGGAAUGCGUGGUGUAGCGGUGAAAUGCAUAGAUAUCACGCAGAACCCCGAUUGCGAAGGCAGCCUUCCGGCGCCCUACUGACGCUGAGGCACGAAAGUGCGGGGAUCGAACAGGAUUAGAUACCCCAGUAGUU
RNAcentral lists this ribosomal RNA (460 nucleotides) under uncultured bacterium. Its description in RNAcentral is "partial 16S ribosomal RNA". It matches the Rfam family "Bacterial small subunit ribosomal RNA", at positions 338 to 795 of the family's 1533-position model. The record is from RNAcentral.